UUUCCCGGUUGGUUGGAUCCCUGUCUCGGCAGCGACAAUCGCUUGGUCUUACAUGUUCAUUAAGUCAGAGAGUUGUGAAAGAUGCCCUCAGAUGAGAUUGGUGCCCUGCGUAAUAUACCUAUCGUGAUGGAAUAUCGAUGUCCCAUAGUCCCUAAUUCGUCUUGUGCAUUUUAUUUUGUGCAAGACUAACAAUGAAUCUAACAUGGUCUUCCGCCCUUUCAUUUCCUUUUGGUCUUGUAAGUGUCGGGAGUCCAUGUGUUGAGGGAAAUCUUGAAUGCGGAACUGGUAAUCGAUUAUGGACUUGGUCCAUACUUUUCCGAGAUAUAUGUCCGCUACGGAAGUCCGUUGCGCUUUGUGUUGAGUAAUGGAUGCUAAUGUAUCUUUUGCUCAUGCUUAGCCUUCGGCCUGAAGGAAUGC
This 417-nucleotide unclassified non-coding RNA is filed under the name Daucus annuus. RNAcentral describes it as "partial external transcribed spacer". Lineage: Eukaryota; Viridiplantae; Streptophyta; Magnoliopsida; Apiales; Apiaceae. RNAcentral also lists the same sequence under 3 other names. The record is from RNAcentral.